Molecule: RNA transcript, 1770 nt
Organism: Nicotiana tabacum (common tobacco)
Lineage: Eukaryota; Viridiplantae; Streptophyta; Magnoliopsida; Solanales; Solanaceae
Source: RefSeq, a predicted model, not a curated record
UUUCAAUUUUUAUCUCGCUCUCACCUUUUUCUUAAGCGGGCAUUGUUUUUGUUCUCAUGUUCCGAUUGGAUUUACCUGUUGCAGGUAUGCAUUUUUUAUUUGGUCCAUUGAGGAUUGAGCACUUAACAGUUAACACUACGGAAACUCCAAAAGCUGUUUGCACAUACGCUAUUGUGAACUUGAGAAAUGUGAAAUUUGACGUCGAAGAUAAAUGUGAAAAAAGAGAUCACGAAGAGCCAGUUGACCACUUUCAAAUGAGGAAAACAGGUAUAUCUUCAAUGCCAACUCCCGCCAUGCACAACAAAUCAGCUCCAAGAUCUGCAGGACCACAUCUCGAGGAUGUUGAUUGGAGCGGGUGAGCGGAAAGAUGGACUCUGUUAUUUCAGAAACAAACAGAGGGUAUGUGCCCUAAAGGAACACCCCAAUAGAAUGGAAAAGUGCAAAGAAAGCAUCGCCAUAUCUUGAAUGUAGCCCGAGCCUUGCACUUUCAAGUUGCAGGUGAAUUUACAAGGUAAAGUACAACUCUGAUGGAACAAUUGAGCGACACAAGACCCGACUAGUUAUUCUCAAGAAUCAUUAAGUAGAGGGGAUCGACCAUAAUGAAAUAUUUACCCAGUGGCAAAGAUGGUGACUGUCGGUGUAUUUUUGGCUAUAGUUGUGUCAAAGAAUUGAGAGUUACAUCAAAUAUAUGUACAUAAUGCUUUCCUGCAUGGGAUAUUCAAGAGGAGGUGUACAUGAAAUUGCCUCCUAGGUUUGGAGUUUCAAGUCAAGAAAAGUGUGUAGACUUAGGAAAUCCAUUUAUGUGUUAAAACAAGCACCGAGGUGUUAGUUUGCUAAGUUGUCGACUGCCUUGGAGGACUAUGGGUUCAAGCAUUCAUACUCUAAUUAUUCUCUCUUUACUAUGAAAAAGGGUGAAGUUAGAGUAAUGUUCUUGUGUAUAUUGAUGAUCUGAUUAUAUCUGGCAGUGAGCCCAAGGCUAUCAGUGAGUUCAAAAUAUAUCUUGGCAAAUGCUUUUACAUGAAGGAUUUAGGUAGCUUGAAAUAUGUUUUGGGAGUAGAAGUCUCCAGAAAAUCAAAAGGCAUUUUCUUGAGCCAACAAAAAUAUACCUUGAAUAUUAUCUCAGAGGUUGGGUUAUUAGGUUCUAAACAUGUGGGAAUGUAGUUGGAACAAAAUCAUUGGCUGCAUUAGUGGGUAGACGGGAGUUUGAUGACCCUAAGUGCUAUCGUCGUUUGAUAGGUCAACUUAUUUAUCUGUGCUUUACUCGGACGGAACUGUCUUAUACUGUUCAUACAUUUUCUCAGUUCAUGCAGCAACCAAAAGAGGAGCAUUAGGAUGCAAUUUUACGGGUUGUUUGGUACUUGAAAGGGAAUCCGGGACAAGGUAUUUUGUUGAGAAGCAAAUGUGAUCUACGUCUCUAUGGAUGGUGUGACUCCAAUUGGGCUGGUUGUACCUUGACUCGAUGCUCGCUCAUAGGCUGGUUUAUCUUUGGUGACUCACCUAUAUCUUGGAAGACUAAGAAGAAACAUACCUCUCAAUCAUCUGCAGAGGCUGAAUAUUAUUCUAUAGUAAUGACAAUCUGUGAGGUGAAAUGGUUGAAGGAAAUUUUAUCUAGUUUGGGAGUGACUUGCACUUCCCCUAUUCAUCUUUAUUGUGACAGUCAAGCAGUAUUGCACAUAGCAAAGAAUCCAUUCUUUCAUAAAAGAGCGAAAUAUAUUGAAGUGGACUGUCAUUUUAUGUGUGACAAGAUUUACAGUAAGAAUAUUCGUACUA